CAGCUAGUUGGUAAGGUAACGGCUUACCAAGGCUACGAUGGGUAGGGGUCCUGAGAGGGAGAUCCCCCACACUGGUACUGAGACACGGACCAGACUCCUACGGGAGGCAGCAGUGAGGAAUAUUGGACAAUGGGCGCAAGCCUGAUCCAGCCAUGCCGCGUGCAGGAUGACGGUCCUAUGGAUUGUAAACUGCUUUUAUACGAGAAGAAACACUGAUUCGUGAAUCAGCUUGACGGUAUCGUAAGAAUAAGGAUCGGCUAACUCCGUGCCAGCAGCCGCGGUAAUACGGAGGAUCCAAGCGUUAUCCGGAAUCAUUGGGUUUAAAGGGUCCGUAGGCGGUUUAAUAAGUCAGUGGUGAAAGCCCAUCGCUCAACGGUGGAACGGCCAUUGAUACUGUUAGACUUGAAUUAUUAGGAAGUAACUAGAAUAUGUAGUGUAGCGGUGAAAUGCUUAGAGAUUACAUGGAAUACCAAUUGCGAAGGCAGGUUACUACUAAUGGAUUGACGCUGAUGGACGAAAGCGUGGGUAGCGAACAGGAUUAGAUACCCUGGUAGUCCACGCCGUAACGAUGGAUACUAGCUGUUGGAAGCAAUUUCAGUGGCUAAGCGAAAGUGAU
This 616-nucleotide ribosomal RNA is filed under the name uncultured Bacteroidota bacterium. RNAcentral's name for it is "SSU rRNA". It matches the Rfam family "Bacterial small subunit ribosomal RNA", at positions 242 to 861 of the family's 1533-position model. The record is from RNAcentral. Lineage: Bacteria; Pseudomonadati; Bacteroidota.